AACCCAAUUAACAUUGAGUCUCACUGUAACUUAAGGCCAGCCUUGUUCUAAUGAUCUCUUCCAAAAAUACCAUUCAAGAACUGUAGAGAUUCAACAAACACAAAAAAUGGAAUAUCAAAAGAAAGUUUUUCAUUAUAUUUGAACACGAUUCAACAGGAAGAUGAUAUGAUGAAUGAACCCA
Molecule: long non-coding RNA, 181 nt
Organism: Hibiscus syriacus
Lineage: Eukaryota; Viridiplantae; Streptophyta; Magnoliopsida; Malvales; Malvaceae
Exons: 3
Source: RefSeq, a predicted model, not a curated record